RNAcentral lists this transfer RNA (87 nucleotides) under Maudiozyma saulgeensis. RNAcentral's name for it is "Kazachstania saulgeensis tRNA". It matches the Rfam family "tRNA". From Rfam's summary of the family: Transfer RNA (tRNA) molecules are approximately 80 nucleotides in length. Their secondary structure includes four short double-helical elements and three loops (D, anti-codon, and T loops). The record is from Rfam by way of RNAcentral. Lineage: Eukaryota; Fungi; Ascomycota; Saccharomycetes; Saccharomycetales; Saccharomycetaceae.
GGGCGUGUGGUCUAGUGGUAUGAUUCUCGCUUUGGGUUAUUUACUCGAAUAUGUGAGAGGCCCUGGGUUCAAUUCCCAGUAUGCCCC